AGAGUUUGAUCAUGGCUCAGAACGAACGCUGGCGGCGUGCUUAACACAUGCAAGUCGAGUGCGCGUACCGUAGCAAUACGGUAUGGCGCACGGCGCACGGGUGCGUAACACGUGGGCAAUCUGCCCUUCGAUGGGGAAUAUCUUCGGGAAACCGAAGCGAAUUCCGCAUAACAUUCCUUGGACUUCGGUUCGAGGACUCAAAGCCGUAAGGCGUCGAAGGAGGAGCCCGCGCCCGAUUAGCUAGUUGGUGAGGUAACGGCUCACCAAGGCAAUGAUCGGUAGCUGGUCUGAGAGGAUGGCCAGCCACACUGGAACUGAGACACGGUCCAGACUCCUACGGGAGGCAGCAGUGGGGAAUCUUGCGCAAUGGGCGAAAGCCUGACGCAGCGACGCCGCGUGGGGGAUGAAGCAUCUCGGUGUGUAAACCCCUUUCGACUGGGACGAAUGCCUCGCAAGAGGAGUGACGGUACCAGUAGAAGAAGCCCCGGCUAACUACGUGCCAGCAGCCGCGGUAAGACGUAGGGGGCCAGCGUUGUUCGGAAUUACUGGGUGUAAAGGGUUCGUAGGCGGUGUGGCAAGUCGGGAGUGAAAUCUAUGGGCUUAACCCAUAGGCUGCUUCCGAAACUGCUGUGCCUGAGUGUGGGAGAGGCGCGUGGAAUUGCAGGUGUAGCGGUGAAAUGCGUAGAUAUCUGCAGGAACACCCGUGGCGAAAGCGGCGCGCUGGACCACAACUGACGCUGAGGAACGAAAGCUAGGGGAGCAGACAGGAUUAGAUACCCUAGUAGUCC
This 788-nucleotide ribosomal RNA is filed under the name uncultured bacterium. RNAcentral describes it as "bacterial SSU rRNA". It matches the Rfam family "Bacterial small subunit ribosomal RNA", at positions 8 to 796 of the family's 1533-position model. The record is from RNAcentral.